GCGCGACGCGGGCGCAAUGGCGGGGACCCGGGGCUUGAUGCUGCUUGGGCCUGGCCCAGUGGCGGGUCCUAGGGACGUGGGUACCUGCAGAGGCCGGCAGAUGGAGAUUCAGAAACAUAAGGACAACAAGAAACUUCCCCAAGGUAUCAUUAUAGUCUUUAGACUUCAGACACACACCACACCUCAAAUAUAUACACAACUGAAAGGAAAAUUAAGGAAGUUUUUCAAAGAACCCUAUUCCGAGUAAGAAGUGUGUUGCAUGAAUUUCUAAGGUCAAAGAUGUUGAUUCAUUCAUAGUGUGAGGCCCAGAAAUCGGCAUUUUUAAACAAGUACACUGGACAUUUCUAAAGCUGGCUAAAGUUUGAGAGACACUAUCCAAGGGAAAUUUCUCCGUAACUCUUUUUCUCAGAAGAAAAGUAAACUAAAAGUAAAAAUAAGCAGUACCACUAAGUUUCAAGUGAUCUUCUCCUAAAAGAAGAAAAGGCCUAUAUUCAGGCACAAGAAAAGUAUAUUCUCUUUUAUCCAUGCAGAAAACAGCUAGUGGUUGAAAAUCAACACUUCAGACCUCUUGUCUACAUAAAGCCAACUGCCCCUUUGUUUUACUGAUGUCUUCAAUGAUUUUACUUAGAUUUUUCUACGGCAUUUACUGAAUUAGCUAAGCAGACACAGAUCCAGUCCUUCAUGAAUAUGGUUUGGAGACUCUCUACUGAAUCAGCACUCUUAGCUUCACCGACAUAGUCUCUUGGUAGACCAGAAGGUGUAUCUUAUCUGGAAAGACUGCUAUAUCUACACCCACAAAAAGCAUUAUUUAUCUGAACACUAAAUUCUGACUUCCUUGCCAUUUUAGGGAGCCACUUUAAAACAUUUUCAAUAUUUGCUAUUUUGUAGCAGCAAAUCCUUCAGAAGGAGGUCAAGUGAUGGCCUUUAUCUGUUCCCAGUGUCUUGCCCUUAGGUCCUCAGGGCACCCCCUGGACAGCAGCCUUAGGAACCAGGUACAAAGCACAAGCACUGCUGGUCCGCAUGGUAAGGAAUCACUUCCAGACUGGGCCUUCCCAUGGGCUUCCCUGAGCUUCCUGGACUCAAAUCAUAGUCCUUCUUUUCCUCUCCCCUUUGGACUUGAUAAACGCAGUCCCAUUCAUUUAAUCUCCAACUUAGAAAUCCGGAGAAUGUGAGCCCUGGGAUUUACUUUCAGACACCCUCGUCGAUAACCUUGGCCACUUAGGUUGCUGCAGCCUGUCCCCAGGGAGACAGUUAGAAUGGAACAAUGACACAAACAACACCAACAAUAACAACAGCAGCAGAAGCAGAAGCAACAAUAGUAGAACGAGAAAUAAUUUAUAACAUGCUUACUACAUGCCAGGCACUAAGUGCUUACCCAUAUUAACUCAGUUAAUUCUUAUAACAACCAGAUGAGAUAGAUUUUCUUAUUAUCCCGAUUUUACAAAUGAGCAAACAGAGGCACAAGCAGGUUAAGAAACCUCCCCAAGGUUAAACAGUGAGAAACAGCAAAGAUUUGAACAGUGAGAAACAGCAAAGAUUUGAAACAGCAAAGAUUUGAACCUAUUGUUCGGGAGUCCAUGCUGUUACUCAUUUCUUUAUGCUGCCAUAAUCUAAUAUAAAAUUGAAUAACAAUAAAUGCACCUUAUAUUUGUAUAGCUAUACACACUAAUUUACAUGAUCUUCAUAAGAACUAUGAAAUGGCUGUGAUUAUCCCCAUUUUUAAAAUGAUACUAUAAAGGCAUAAAAUGCUGUAUUUAUGGUAUGCAACCCUUUGGUGAACAACCCUAUAAAUAUUUAAUUACUUAUAUUGAUGUUCUUCCUACGUCUAAGAAAAAUGUUAUUUCCAUUCCCAAGAUGUUAGUAGAGACGAAGAUUUUUCAAUUUGUCUCCUUGAUUUUGUUGGAUUAUAGCAUUAAAGUUAUUUUUACAAAGCCAUCUACGGUAACCCAGUAGAAAGGGUAAGCCUGUUGGCUUAGGAAAACUGAAUGGCAUUCAGUUUCUUCAAAGAAAUUUGGGACAGAUGUGGGUUUUUUUUCUUCUUCUUCUUCAACAAAUCCAGAAGAUGAAAAAUGUAUUUUAUUUCUUGUGAAAUGCAUUUUUCUGUUCAUCUCAGUAUGUGGGACUGUUGAAGUUUAUAAGUUUGGCAGUGUUCUAACAUGGCCAUCCUGUUCUCCUUUAGCAACUUAUUAAAUGUAUUUUUUUUAAUGAAAACAGAA
Molecule: long non-coding RNA, 2216 nt
Filed under: Homo sapiens (human)
Lineage: Eukaryota; Metazoa; Chordata; Mammalia; Primates; Hominidae
Description: non-protein coding CASC2:10
Source: RNAcentral